Molecule: long non-coding RNA, 628 nt
Organism: Lycium barbarum (goji berry)
Lineage: Eukaryota; Viridiplantae; Streptophyta; Magnoliopsida; Solanales; Solanaceae
Exons: 3
Source: RefSeq, a predicted model, not a curated record
GCAACUGUUCAUUACAUAUUAUUUCUAAGAAAACGUUCAGGUGUUCAACAACACAAAAGUAUAAAAACACAAAAGUAGUUGCUUAAUUUUUAUAUCAUCUUCUCCUUCUUUGAUAGCUAAGUGAUGGCAUAAACGUUUUGGAGUGUUGUCACCCUAUUGUAUGGCUGGUUUUGAAAGCAUAGAACUGGGAUUCUAAUAAAGUGUUCUAGAGAUUAAGGCUAAAAGAGCGACGAGACGAACGGGUUACGAAUAGCCGCUAACAGGUACAGACGAUCGAUUUGUUGAUCCGCCCGCUUAGGAUCCUAUUCUGCUAUCUUGGAAUGCUCCUUAGUCCGGAGCCUAUAUUUUGGGUACAGACUCUUCUGUUGCACAUAUGUAUGUUAUUCAGGGGUAUGACGGGGCCCUGUCCUGUCUUAUGAUUUGCUUGUUGUUCGUAGAGGUCUGUAGAGAUACAUGUGGGUUGUGUAUAUGUUUUGGGUUACUAUGUUCUAUGAUAGCCUUAUCGGCUUCCGUGCGAUAUGUCUGUUUGUCUACGAUAAUUAGUAAAGCCAUUCGACUGCCGUAUCUGUAUAUUAUGCUUAUAUUCUGGUUUGGGUUGUUGAGUACGUAUGGGUGUCCAGCACGGACA